This 305-nucleotide ribosomal RNA is filed under the name uncultured bacterium. RNAcentral's name for it is "bacterial SSU rRNA". It matches the Rfam family "Bacterial small subunit ribosomal RNA", at positions 336 to 658 of the family's 1533-position model. The record is from RNAcentral.
UUCCUACGGGGGGCAGCAGUAGGGAAUCUUUCACAAUGGGCGAAAGCCUGAUGGAGCAACGCCGCGUGCAGGAUGAAGGCCUUCGGGUUGUAAACUGCUUUUAUAAGCGAGAAAUAUGAUGGUAACUUAUGAAUAAGCACCGGCUAACUACGUGCCAGCAGCCGCGGUAAUACGUAGGGUGCAAGCGUUAUCCGGAUUUAUUGGGCGUAAAGGGCUCGUAGGCGGUUCGUCGCGUCCGGUGUGAAAGUCCAUCGCUUAACGGUGGAUCCGCGCCGGGUACGGGCGGGCUUGAGUGCGGUAGGGGG